RNAcentral lists this ribosomal RNA (393 nucleotides) under Triticum aestivum (bread wheat). RNAcentral describes it as "partial small subunit ribosomal RNA". The record is from RNAcentral. Lineage: Eukaryota; Viridiplantae; Streptophyta; Magnoliopsida; Poales; Poaceae.
AUGAUCUGCGUCUCCGGCGAGUGCAGGAACGCCAGCCCCCGCGCCGCGCCCGCGGCGAUCUUCAGCCUCGUCGCCCACGACAGCGGCUCGAACGAGCCGCCCCCUGCGCCAUGCAUGGGUCGAGGAGAGGUCAGCGAAGAGCAAAGUGCAGCGUGUGGAUGGAUCGAUGAAUGGCGAUGGAUGCAUGCAUGGUGGAGUGGAUUGCGUACUUCGGAAGAGGUGGUUCUCGAGGCUGCCCUUGGGCAUGAACUCGUAGACGAGGAGGAGGUCGCGGUCCUCGCCGUCGCCGCAGUAGCCCAGCAGCCUCACCAGGUUCGGGUGCUGCAGCCGCCCCAGGAAGUUCACCUCCGACUGCACUUGUGCCAUACAAAAGAAAACAAGUUGCCACGUUAG